UACGUAGGGGGCAAGCGUUAUCCGGAUUUACUGGGUGUAAAGGGAGCGCAGACGGCAUAGCAAGUCUGAUGUGAAAACCGGGGGCUCAACUCCCGGACUGCAUUGGAAACUGUUAAGCUGGAGUGUCGGAGGGGCAAGCGGAAUUCCUGGUGUAGCGGUGAAAUGCGUAGAUAUCAGGAGGAACACCGGUGGCGAAGGCGGCUUGCUGGACGAUCACUGACGUUGAGGCUCGAAAGCGUGGGGAG
Molecule: ribosomal RNA, 245 nt
Filed under: uncultured Lachnospiraceae bacterium
Lineage: Bacteria; Bacillati; Bacillota; Clostridia; Lachnospirales; Lachnospiraceae
Description: partial 16S ribosomal RNA
Rfam family: Bacterial small subunit ribosomal RNA
Source: RNAcentral